This is a long non-coding RNA of Cyclopterus lumpus (lumpfish), 1082 nucleotides long. RefSeq lists it as uncharacterized. Lineage: Eukaryota; Metazoa; Chordata; Actinopteri; Perciformes; Cyclopteridae. The record is from RefSeq and is a predicted model, not a curated record. The transcript has 5 exons.
CCCGUUCCUCUUUCAAACCGGCCUCCAAGAUGGUAGGUGCUACCUCGAAUCCCUGCGCACUGAAAAGCAGCUGAAUCUACGCCCAUCCGUGUUCACCCGUCCACCGACCUGUCACCCGGUGUCGGUUUACGGUGCAGCCCGCUCCCCCGGUGCUUUACCGGCUGCUAUUCCGCGUGAUUUCAUAUCAUUUUGGGGUCUUGGCUCACGUCGGCCCUCCGCUACACGUCCUCUCUGCUGGCCUCCUUUAAUCAAUGUGACGGCGGCGUGGAAAGCAAACGUUCCCGUUAACAACACGCUAAACGUUCAUUGUGUUGGACGUUAUGGAAGUUAACGGUCUGCCGCCCACCAAGACGAGGAAGCUCCGAGGACACGUCAGCCACGCACGUGGUCGCGUUGGCAAACACAGAAAGCAUCCUGGAGGUCGUGGUGCUGCAUGACGUCAUGGCGAUCUGCACGUGCACGUUUGAAUUUACGAACUCAUGAAGCCAUCCUGGGUCCUUCGUAAAGUGGGGAGGAGACAUCACCAUCUGAAGAGGAACAUCACCGUCAACCUGGACAAGCUGUGGAUGGACCGGGCUCGACUACGGCAAGAAGCCCGGCGGACCCGCACCCAUCAUGGAUGCUGAGCGCUGGCUCCAGCUAAGGCGAGAGCAGCCUGUGGUCAUCAAGGUGGAGGAGGAGCCUGUGGUCAAGGAGGAGGAGCCUGUGUGUCAUAAUGUUAUAGAAAGGGUUCAUAGAAAGCCCUCGAUGUCAUAAGGACAGAACUAAACCCUCACGGAGUUCUCUGGACCUCAAGGUCCGUAAGAGUGGAGCCGGGAUUGAAACCCGCCGUUCUAUAACAUCACUGAACUCUGUACGACGUCGGCUUCGUGGUAGAAGGCAUGAACGUUGUUUUUAAAAAGCAAAAAAUUUAAUCUGGAAAACACAAUUGCUGUCAGAAAACAGUCGUAAUAUAUAUUUAAUAUAAAUGCACCAACGCGACUAGACUUGCAGUUGUUUCUGCUUCUGUUUUCUUGUUUCCUCGUUCCCUAUUUUGACAUUUUGUUUGUUCAAAUAUGUUUAAAUAAAUGUGUACAAUUAAA